RNAcentral lists this ribosomal RNA (483 nucleotides) under Klebsiella pneumoniae. Its description in RNAcentral is "bacterial SSU rRNA". It matches the Rfam family "Bacterial small subunit ribosomal RNA", at positions 20 to 493 of the family's 1533-position model. The record is from RNAcentral. Lineage: Bacteria; Pseudomonadati; Pseudomonadota; Gammaproteobacteria; Enterobacterales; Enterobacteriaceae.
UGGCUCAGAUUGAACGCUGGCGGCAGGCCUAACACAUGCAAGUCGAGCGGUAGCACAGAGAGCUUGCUCUCGGGUGACGAGCGGCGGACGGGUGAGUAAUGUCUGGGAAACUGCCUGAUGGAGGGGGAUAACUACUGGAAACGGUAGCUAAUACCGCAUAACGUCGCAAGACCAAAGUGGGGGACCUUCGGGCCUCAUGCCAUCAGAUGUGCCCAGAUGGGAUUAGCUAGUAGGUGGGGUAACGGCUCACCUAGGCGACGAUCCCUAGCUGGUCUGAGAGGAUGACCAGCCACACUGGAACUGAGACACGGUCCAGACUCCUACGGGAGGCAGCAGUGGGGAAUAUUGCACAAUGGGCGCAAGCCUGAUGCAGCCAUGCCGCGUGUGUGAAGAAGGCCUUCGGGUUGUAAAGCACUUUCAGCGGGGAGGAAGGCGAUGAGGUUAAUAACCUCAUCGAUUGACGUUACCCUGCAGAAGAAGCAC